CAACAUGCCACACCUUGCAGCACGUGUCUACUGAAAAAGCAAGACACUCUCGCAACAGCAGUUUAAACUAGUUAUAAAGUGCACCUCGUUUUACAAUAAAGAUCAAUGUUAUGAACACAGAUGACUAUUGCCUGCAGCGUAUUUCCAAAAGAGCUGGUUUAUCUGAACAUGCCUAAGCAUAUGCGGACUAUCUUAUUAAAUGUGAAGGAGAUAUUUCAUUUGCAAGAUUUAUCAAAUACUGAGAAGGUGAAGGCAAUUCGCUUGCCAGACCAUGAGAUAGUUUGGAGAACUCCCAAACAUUCACCCUGUGCCAAGUCUGUGUGCAGCCAGAUAAUGAAAGGCAAUCUAUUAGAUGUCAGGUAAGUGGGUUUGUGGUUUCCAUUAAAUAAAAUUUAGGCUAUGUAUUUAAUACAUUCUUGUUUAUCAUUGCACCGGAGAGUGGCAAAGUGUUUUUUAUUUGUUGGACAUGAAAAUAAGAAUUGCACUGUAGUUACUAUUGCAACAACCACUACCACUUUUAAUAUAGAGAACUCGUUUUUUUCUUAUAGUGUUUACCUUAAUAAGACAAUGCUAUCCAGUUUGAAAAAAAUGUUGAAAUUAAAAAGAUAAAAAAGAUAAUGUUAUAAAAUGUUAUAAAAAUCAUACCAUUUGAAUGAACUGUUGAAAUGAUACAUGUAAAGGAAUGUUAUCUCAUGGCUCCUGUAUCCUAUAUUUAAAUCUUCCUCCACAUCUUUGUAUAUUUCUUCUGGGUAGUUCAAUUUUCAAGGUGAAGUUUUAUUGUCCACACCCAUUCCAAAAAUGCAAAAUUUUGGAUGAUUGGCAACUCUGAGUUGCCCCUGUGUGAACAUGAGUAGGAAUAAAUAUAUGAUGGACUGGCAAACUGUUCAGAGGAUUUUCAGCUUUAUACUCAGUUCUGCCAGGAUAGAUUCCAAACACUGAAGAUCCUGAAUUGUAUUAAGCAGAUUUGAAAAUCUUAUUUUAUGUUUUAUAAAUAUAAUGAUAUAAUUAAG
Molecule: long non-coding RNA, 1010 nt
Organism: Polypterus senegalus (gray bichir)
Lineage: Eukaryota; Metazoa; Chordata; Cladistia; Polypteriformes; Polypteridae
Exons: 3
Source: RefSeq, a predicted model, not a curated record